Molecule: non-coding RNA, 45 nt
Filed under: Schistosoma mattheei
Lineage: Eukaryota; Metazoa; Platyhelminthes; Trematoda; Strigeidida; Schistosomatidae
Source: RNAcentral
AUCUAACUGACGAGUCCCAAACAGAACGAAACAUGGGUCCUGGAU